Molecule: ribosomal RNA, 468 nt
Filed under: uncultured bacterium
Lineage: Bacteria
Description: partial 16S ribosomal RNA
Rfam family: Bacterial small subunit ribosomal RNA
Source: RNAcentral
GACGAACGCUGGCGGCGUGCUUAACACAUGCAAGUCGAACGGAAAGGCCCUGCUUAUGUGGGGUGCUCGAGUGGCGAACGGGUGAGUAACACGUGAGUAACCUGCCCUCGACUUUGGGAUAACUUCAGGAAACUGGGGCUAAUACCGGAUAGGAGCUCCUGCUGCAUGGUGGGGGUUGGAAAGUUUCGGCGGUUGGGGAUGGACUCGCGGCUUAUCAGCUUGUUGGUGGGGUAGUGGCUUACCAAGGCUUUGACGGGUAGCCGGCCUGAGAGGGUGACCGGCCACAUUGGGACUGAGAUACGGCCCAGACUCCUACGGGAGGCAGCAGUGGGGAAUAUUGCACAAUGGGCGGAAGCCUGAUGCAGCAACGCCGCGUGCGGGAUGACGGCCUUCGGGUUGUAAACCGCUUUCGCCUGUGACGAAGCGUGAGUGACGGUAAUGGGUAAAGAAGCACCGGCUAACUACGUG